RNAcentral lists this microRNA precursor (91 nucleotides) under Schistosoma japonicum. RNAcentral's name for it is "microRNA sja-mir-3496 precursor". Lineage: Eukaryota; Metazoa; Platyhelminthes; Trematoda; Strigeidida; Schistosomatidae. The record is from miRBase by way of RNAcentral.
CUACAGCACACGGCGUCUGGACGUUUGGUUUUUAGUUGCACUACUUACGCAAAGUGUGCUGAAUGUACGGAAAUCGUUCGUGAUGCACCGG